RNAcentral lists this ribosomal RNA (253 nucleotides) under uncultured bacterium. RNAcentral's name for it is "partial 16S ribosomal RNA". It matches the Rfam family "Bacterial small subunit ribosomal RNA", at positions 524 to 776 of the family's 1533-position model. The record is from RNAcentral.
AACGUAGGGGACAAACGUUAUCCGGAGUUACUGGGCGUAAAGGGCGUGUAGGCGGUUCGGUAAGUCUGGUGUGAAAGCCCUCGGCUAAACCGGGAGAGGUCGUUGGAUACUGGCAAACUAGAGGACGGUAGAGGCGUGUGGAAUUCCGGGUGUAGUGGUGAAAUGCGUAGAUAUCGUAAGGAAGACCAGUGGCGAAGGCGGGUCUCUGGACAGUUCCUGACGCUGAGGCACGAAGGCCAGGGGAGCAAACGGG